This 101-nucleotide transfer RNA is filed under the name Methanocella conradii HZ254. RNAcentral's name for it is "Methanocella sp. HZ254 tRNA". It matches the Rfam family "tRNA". Rfam says of the family: Transfer RNA (tRNA) molecules are approximately 80 nucleotides in length. Their secondary structure includes four short double-helical elements and three loops (D, anti-codon, and T loops). The record is from Rfam by way of RNAcentral. Lineage: Archaea; Methanobacteriati; Methanobacteriota; Methanomicrobia; Methanocellales; Methanocellaceae.
GUCGGAGUGGCCUAGUCUGGUUAGGGCGUCGGACUCAUAGGGUGUCAUAAUGCCCAACCUGAGACAUCCGGAGGUCGGGGGUUCGGAUCCCCCCUCCGACA